This 84-nucleotide transfer RNA is filed under the name Candidatus Zhuqueibacterota bacterium. RNAcentral's name for it is "candidate division KSB1 bacterium (freshwater sediment metagenome) tRNA-Leu". It matches the Rfam family "tRNA". Rfam says of the family: Transfer RNA (tRNA) molecules are approximately 80 nucleotides in length. Their secondary structure includes four short double-helical elements and three loops (D, anti-codon, and T loops). The record is from RNAcentral. Lineage: Bacteria; Pseudomonadati.
GCCGAAGUGGUGGAAUUGGUAGACACGCUAUCUUGAGGGGGUAGUGCCUGACCGGGUGUGCGGGUUCGAAUCCCGCCUUCGGCA